Zalophus californianus (California sea lion) is the source of this 756-nucleotide long non-coding RNA. RefSeq lists it as uncharacterized. The transcript is spliced from 3 exons. Lineage: Eukaryota; Metazoa; Chordata; Mammalia; Carnivora; Otariidae. The record is from RefSeq and is a predicted model, not a curated record.
GUGGAUGCCCGGUAUUUGUGUGAAACCCAUACUUUCUCCGUCCGCGACCCACCCACACCCGGGAGGCCUGGAGGUAAGGAUUUAACCAUCUGACGGGCAAGAGCAGAGGGACCGUGACGUCAUCAACAUCCGCCCACCGCGCGCCCGAGGUUGACAAGGUCAUGGAAGGCAGAGCUUAAGUGUUUAACUUGGUACAGCCCUCGCGCAGCACGUCUCCUUCGACGACUGGGCUUCUCAGAUCUCCUACAUCCAGAUUGCAUUUAGGAGGAAAGAAAGAAAGCCUGAAGCAGUCAAGACACAGAACCAGACCAGACGGGUGAUUCCAAACACUUUUCUUUCAGGUCUUAAGACUCAUUUUCUCACAUGAUUCCAUAAUGGAGGAGGGAUCAUGGGAAACAUUUUCCUUACCCUCAGAUUAAAGAAAGGACACUGAUUGGCCCCAUCCUGAGUUGGAGGGAUAAAAAGGAAUGUCCUGGGGAGCCAAACACCAGAGUUACCACGAUGCACUGCAGAAAGAAACUGGUGAAUUUUUUUUUUUCAAGCAAAGUGUUUUUUAAUUGAAGUGUAAUGCAUACAGAAAAGUACACACAUUCUAAGUAUAGAGUUUGGUGAAUGUUUACAAAGUGAAAACACCCCUGUAACUAUUACCAAGAUCAAGAAAUGAAACAUAACAUCUGAAUUUUUAAAAAGUUCUCUCUCUUUGCCGUGUCUCUCUCUGUCAAAUAAAUAAAUAAAAUCUUUUAAAAAAAUAAAUAA